CGCUCCCACCUGUCUCUUCUGGUUACGUUCGUCCGGGGCCGCGACGCCGCUAUGGGAGGCCCGGCUUUCUCUCGCUGGCUCAGCCGCAAGUCCCCGUCCAUCCUUGUCAGCUGCGUGGAAGAGAAGCACGAUGAACUUGCAGAUAGUCUUCCUUGUGCAGAAGGAGAGUUUAUCUUCCUUCGUCUUAAUGUUUUUCGUGAGGUAUGGAGCAAUAAUCACUAGAAUCAGCCCUCUAAAACAGAGUGCCGUUUCAUAGCUUUAAUGGCAGCAUUCCUUUUUGGUUGUAGUAUUUGGAAAGAGAGCUCACCAUGGCCAGCCUACCGCUCACAUUUGAUGUCGAGAGGAGCACUGAUGACUGGGUCUUCAUGUGCUUCUUUGUGGGAAAUGACUUCCUUCCUCACCUGCCGUCGUUAGAGAUUCGGGUUACCUUACAGAAAGUGGUUAUGUCAAUCUGCAAAGAGUACAGAUGAUCAUGUUAGCAGUUGGUGAAGUUGAGGAUAGCAUUUUUAAAAAGAGAAAGGAUGAUGAGGACAGUUUUAGAAGACGACAGAAAGAAAAGAGAAAGAGAAUGAAGAAAUUCACCAGGUUCUCAAGUAGCCAGUAAUCCGAGACAAGCAGCCUAUGAAAUGAGGAUGCAGAAUAAUUCUAGUCCUUCAGUAUCUCCUAAUACGAGUUUCACUUCUGAUGGCCC
Diceros bicornis minor is the source of this 691-nucleotide RNA transcript. It is a transcript of the gene named 5'-3' exoribonuclease 2-like, with no coding region annotated. The transcript is spliced from 6 exons. Lineage: Eukaryota; Metazoa; Chordata; Mammalia; Perissodactyla; Rhinocerotidae. The record is from RefSeq and is a predicted model, not a curated record.